CGCGGAUGCCGCCCGGAGCCGCCUUUAGCGGGGAAGGCAGCGUUCCCUUCCAGCUCAGGAAAGCAGGAAUAGCAACGCGGUUAUUUCUGGCCCCGCACCGCCCGCACCAGGGCUGCUCAGCUUCUCGGAACCAUCACUUUAUCGACUCCACCCACAGGAAAAUCCUAUUUUAGGGAACAGUCAUCAUGCCAGAAGAGGAAGCACAUCCUGGAAACAGGGAGAAGAGUCCAUCGGGAGGACCACACUGGCGGCCCGGGGAAGAGGGGCCAGGUGGCCGGGAUGGUCAGACGCGGCGAUGCUCAGGGGUAGGAGCAUACUCCUGGCUCUGCACUCAGAAAUUACUCCUGGCAGGCUCGGGGGACCAUAUGGGAUACCGAGGAUCGAACCCGGAUUGGCUGUGUGCAAGACAGAUACAGCCCUACCUGCU
Sorex araneus (European shrew) is the source of this 427-nucleotide long non-coding RNA. RefSeq lists it as uncharacterized. The transcript is spliced from 3 exons. The record is from RefSeq and is a predicted model, not a curated record. NCBI's taxonomy places the organism in Eukaryota, Metazoa, Chordata, Mammalia, Eulipotyphla, Soricidae.